This 496-nucleotide ribosomal RNA is filed under the name uncultured bacterium. RNAcentral's name for it is "partial 16S ribosomal RNA". It matches the Rfam family "Bacterial small subunit ribosomal RNA", at positions 28 to 507 of the family's 1533-position model. The record is from RNAcentral.
GAUGAACGCUGGCGGCGUGCCUAAUACAUGCCAGUCGAGCGAACAGACGAGGAGCUUGCUCCUCUGACGUUAGCGGCGGACGGGUGAGUAACACGUGGAUAACCUACCUAUAAGACUGGGAUAACUUCGGGAAACCGGAGCUAAUCCCGGAUAAUAUAUGAAACCGCAUGGUUCAAUAGUGAAAGAGGGUUUUGCUGUCCCUUAUAGAUGGAUCCGCGCCGCAUUAGCUAGUUGGUAAGGUAACGGCUUACCAAGGCAACGAUGCGUAGCCGACCUGAGAGGGUGAUCGGCCACACUGGAACUGAGACACGGUCAGACUCCUACGGGAGGCAGCAGUAGGGAAUCUUCCGCAAUGGGCGAAAGCCUGACGGAGCAACGCCGCGUGAGUGAUGAAGGUCUUCGGAUCGUAAAACUCUGUUAUUAGGGAAGAACAAAUGUGUAAGUAACUAUGCACGUCUUGACGGUACCUAAUCAGAAAGCCACGGCUAACUACGUG